GAUGAACGCUGGCGGCGUGCCUAAUACAUGCAAGUCGAGCGAACAGACGAGGAGCUUGCUCCUCUGACGUUAGCGGCGGACGGGUGAGUAACACGUGGAUAACCUACCUAUAAGACUGGGAUAACUUCGGGAAACCGGAGCUAAUACCGGAUAACAUGUUGAACCGCAUGGUUCAACAGUGAAAGACGGUUUUGCUGUCACUUAUAGAUGGAUCCGCGCCGCAUUAGCUAUUUGGUAAGGUAACGGCUUACCAAGGCAACGAUGCGUAGCCGACCUGAGAGGGUGAUCGGCCACACUGGAACUGAGACACGGUCCAGACUCCUACGGGAGGCAGCAGUAGGGAAUCUUCCGCAAUGGGCGAAAGCCUGACGGAGCAACGCCGCGUGAGUGAAGAAGGUCUUCGGAUCGUAAAACUCUGUUAUUAGGGAAGAACAAAUGUGUAAGUAACUAUGCACGUCUUGACGGUACCUAAUCAGAAAGCCACGGCUAACUACGUG
RNAcentral lists this ribosomal RNA (497 nucleotides) under uncultured bacterium. Its description in RNAcentral is "partial 16S ribosomal RNA". It matches the Rfam family "Bacterial small subunit ribosomal RNA", at positions 28 to 507 of the family's 1533-position model. The record is from RNAcentral.